ACAUCAGCUUGGAGAAAUGUAUGUGCGGUUGGGAAGGGAGAAUUACAGAGCCGUGUGACUCGGGAAGAGGAGCGGACGGGGGAAAAGGCGUUUCCAUUCUCAGACCGGCGAGUCUGCACGUACAAACACGCGAAUCGGGCCGACUGCCCGGCGCAUAGAAUCCACCGUAUAUCCAGUUUACUGUCACUGAUACGCGUUUCAGAUAAUUCAGAACGAACUGUUAAUUAUUUAGUAGCUUAAGCAACAUUUUUGUAUCACUCAGGAGAAAAAAGAAGGGACUUUACAAAAGGAUCAUUUUCAAAUCCGAAAGAAGGUGAGAAGCAGACUGCAUACACCGGGAUAAGGAAACGCAUUUUCUUUUGUUAUUUAAGAGCAUCACUGUGCGGCUGAUUGAUUCAGACCCUUCAACCCGGAGACAUGUCGGAGUACAGUGCUCUGCUUAGUGACCUGUCUGAGAACAUCACCAAUGAAGACCUGGACCAGCUCAAGUCUGCUUGUAAGGAGGACAUUCCAGAGGAGCAAAGCAAUGCUAUCACCUCCUCCAAGGAGUGGUUCCACUACCUGGAAAAGAAUGACAAGCUUUCCCAAGAUAACCUGUGUUACAUCGAGCACAUCUUCGAGAUCUCGCGACGCCCUGACCUGCUGACACGCGUCAUCGAGUACCGUACCACAGUGCUCAAGAUUUCCGAAGAUGACGAGAUCGACACCAAGCUGACGCGCAUCCCCUCUGCCAAGAAGUAUAAAGAUAUCAUUCGCCAGCCAUCAGAAGAUGAGAUCAUCAAGUUAGCUCCACCCCCCAAGAAAGCAUGAGGUCACCGCCCCUGACCUAUCAAACGUGAUGCAGUCGUCAGUGCUCCCCGUAUAGCUCAGCAACCCGGUCGCACCAGUCUACCCUCCUACCCAAUGAAAUACAAUGUGGACUCUCCCAACAACCAAUCACAGAGCAGGCAGGCCUCUGUUUUCCACGUCUGUGAGAACAGAGAGGAUUCCAGAUGCAUGAGGAACGGGAAGAAACACGGUGACCGAUGAUGCGUCAGAGCUUGUGUCAUCUUUCAGAUGUUUGAAAAUAGUAUUUUAACUCCCAAAUCUACCUUCUGGUAGCAAAAGUUUGCCAAACUAUACAUUCGUUUGACAUCUGUGAUGCUUUCGUUUAGGUCAGAUUUUCCGUCUGUUCCAUUUGAAAUAUGAGGGUUUGUUUAGGACAGUAUUAAUAACUUUGGAAAAAGUUAAAGCUCAAUAUAUGAUAGUAUUAAAUAGAGAUUUAGGUGAAAAUAUAUCAAAAUAUUGAUAUCCCUUUAAAAAUAUUUUUGAAUUGUAUAUCAAAGAUCUAUAUUGUUUUUACACAUUUAUUUCUUUUUGUCUUCACAAUGAAAGCUGGAAGAUUGACUGAUGCUUCUGUGUUUAGUAGUUUAAAUAUUUCCCUUAUAUAUGCCCUCUUUGCCAAGUCUUGGUAGUCUGUUGCAGUGCUAUACAAAAUAAAAUAGUGGUUUUCAUAGAAAUAGUAAGAUGGUAGAAUGUACUGGUCAGAAUUUGUACCAAAAACAAAAGGAAACAUGUUUUCUGUCAGACAGGACUAUAUUUUUUCCAGGGAGAAAUGGUCCUGAAUGUUUAACUGGGUUACAAUACAAGCUGUUGUCCAUUUCCUUAGACACAUUUACACCUGAUUAAUUUUAAACUGUAUGAAAAUAUAAUACAUGUAUUUUUAAUAUAGUUUGGCUAAAUUAGUUGCAGUGCCUCGGCUGAUCGAUAUAACAUUUAAGUUGUAAAAUCUGUGCAAGAAUAUUGCCUCACUCUGAAGCAUGAAGCAGUAAAAUGCUUUACUUAUAACACGUUGUGGAAAUCUCCGGAGAGGUUGUGUGCUUUUUUUCUUGAUUGCUCUGGCAUAAUGAAAGGAAAUGGCGCCCUCUGGUGGAUUUUUCAGGCUUAUUUUCACUGUGUUGACGUAGAACUGUUUGUAUCGUGCAUCCCCUACCUGUUUUAACCAGGAUCUGCAACUCAAGGCAAUAGCCUUGAUAUUCUUUGCUUAUAGGACCAAGCCCGUGAUAUUCUUUGCUUAUAAGACCAAGAUCUUUUUUCAUGUUAAUUCAAAUGUAUGCUUAGGUAUUUAUUUUGUAUUCUGUGUAAUUUUGGAAUAAUUUUUGUUUCUAGCAAGCAUAAUGUGAAACAAUAUUUGCUUGAAGAUAGUGGUAGACUGAGAUAUUCUAUGCAAAUGCCUUAGAGAAACUGAACUGAUGGACUUCAUGGAUUCAAAUGGAAAAUCUAGUUUCUAAUCUGUUUCAUUACCAGCGCAUUUAAUUGAGCCUUUGCUUGUUAUUCUGGUGUCGCUGCUGUUGGCCGGGUCAUAGCCAGCCCAUCUAAUGAAACACUACACUUGAGUUACAGCUCUGGCUUUUUGCCCUGGCCCUUUCAUUACAUUUCUGCUCUCCCAUCUAUCAACGGGCUGUUUUGUGCAGGAAUAUACUGUCUGUCACUGCCCGCUACAGUCACUAGUGAGGGCGGGAACAAGGAGCGUUGAUGAUUUCUGUGGAGGAAGGAAGGCUACAUGUCUGGAGGGUGUCUAUGAAUGUAGGGUACGGCUGCUGGUGUUUGUGAGGGAUGGAGACUGGAUGGAUUCUUUUGGAUACGUUUGGAGUAGAUUAUUGUGAUGCUUAUUUCGUUUUUGCAGGUUUCUGAGUUUUAACAAAAUCAGUGACCAUCCACAUGACAUGUGAAUCCCUUUAAUAUUUAAUCAGUAAUUGAAAUACAAAUAUCUCUGAGCAGAGGCUGAACUUGCUACACGUUGACACCACCCAGUUGGCUCGUCUCAGUAAAUAUCUCUGAAAAACAAUAGUAAUACUUUAAGAAAAGGUGUGUGAUUUUGGAAAAAUCUAUAUGUCUACACAAUCGAGAGAAUUGGAUGGUGCAGUGAUGUUGGGUUGUGUUGGGAGGUGGUGUGUGAGGAAGGCAUGGAUUGGACUGGAAACGGCAAUAUUGAGGGAGUAGUACGAUAUUCCUGGGGCAGGCAAAGCAGCGUGUGAGUGGACACUAAGAGUUGCUGGCAUGGAAAACUUCAUUUUUAAAUUUGAUUAGACUCUUUAAAAGCUGAUAGAUGUAGUGUUAUGGGGUUCUAAGCCAGUAUCACAGCAUGGCGUACUCAGAUCUUUGAGAAGCAGUGGCAGAAUACCUAAAUGAUUGUGUCUGUGGUGAGCAGGGGCCAAAUCUGCCUGCGGUCUGAAGUGUUAGUGCUGCUGUUAGAUGUGAUUCUUGGGAAUGUUAUUUCUGGCCGAAAAUCCUGACUGUGACAGUGUUUCUUAGUGUUGUGCAACUGCCUGAAGGAAGAGCUGGUGCACGCAGGUAUUAUCGCAGUAAGUGUGCAGUACAACUCCAUGCAUAUUUUAGAACUGUACUCAUUUAGUUUAACUUGUAACCUAAAUCAAACUGUAUAGUACUGGAUUAUUUGAAAUUAAAAUUCUGUUUACAGGACAGUGUGGUAUGAAGCAGACCCAUAAUUACCAGUUGCUCUUUAAAGUUAAUGAAUGAGGCAUGGGAAUCAUGUGGCAGACCACAGUGUUUAAACCACAGCAUUAGUUUGUUACUAACAAUUUUUGAAAGAAAUCUGGAGUGUGCCACUGACAAUACAUUAUAUGAUUGGGGAGAGAUGCUUUGUUUAAACAACAGUUAAAACCAUUACAAAAAUUGUAGUGUGAUGUCACACAAUGUCUGUGAUGUUAAAUGAAAGGACAUUCUGUUAUAAACUGUUAUUACAAAUGCUAAAGAAAUUAAUUCAAAAGUUUCUUAGAUUUUGCCCCAUGUCAAAAUUUUACAGUUCAUGUGAAUUGUAUUUUCUGUCCUUAAGUUAUAUGGUGUACAUAUUGUGAUUUUAUUUUAAUAUUUGACUAUUAUUUAUUAAAUUUAAAUAUUUAAUCUCAUAAUUUCAAACAUGGUGGAAACAAUUGAUUGGGAUGAACUUGCUUGUUAGGAAACAUUCCUUUUCAAGAAAUGAUUUCAUGGAGAACCAAGUCUUUUUGUUGCUCUUGUUGUUGUUAUUGUUGCAAAUAACUACUGAAGUCAAAUGAUUUAAUAUGUUCUGUUGUGGAAAUGAAAUAUUUUUUUUUGCUGUAUGUAUUUCAGUUGUGGGUUUAAAGAUGUUUACAUUGAAAUGGUAAGCAAUGAGACCAUUAGUGACUCAAUAAGUUUAUUCACACUGCUGUGCUGUAUUUCCUGUGCAUUCGUCUGUGUAUGAUUUCCAGAAUACUCCGAUUUGCCUGGGGAAUUCGCCCAGAUCUCCUUGUGAGUUUCGAAGUUCACCUGGGGUAUUAGAAAUUACAUUGAGCACUGAAAUCAUUCACAAUCCAACUGGAAAAUGAGCAGACAACAUAGCACAUACAUAUAUAGAUAUAUUUAUAUAUAUAUAUAUACAUAUAUUUAUUUUUUCUGGGAAAGCUAUAUACAACAUGGAUUGUUAUUGCUUUAAUACAUACUAAUGUUUCUCUAUGAAAUUAUGAUUCUGCAGUGACCAGCCUGUGUACCACUGCAUAGCUGUGCAACGGCAUGAACUUAUCGAUCAAAGAAACGAAUUAAAUACUGGAAUCUUGGUGCCAUAGGAUGAUAUCUGAUGUCAAAUCUGCAAGGUGGCAAAUGCUCACAUUUGGAAAUCACACCGACAUUAUUACUGUAGUGCAUUACUGUUUUCAGUUAUGUAAUUGAAGUGCAGGUUGAACUGAGAGCACAUGUUACGAAGAAUUUAUCUUGAUCAAGGAACAGUAUAUAAGACCUUGUCUAAUCUAAUCUUUGCUAACACAUCUCUCGUAACUUCGGCCUUUAUCUGCUUGGGAUUUAAAGGCUGAAUAAAGAGCUGAUGUUUAUAUGAAACAUUUUGCCAUGUGCUAUAACAAGCUUUGCCACUUUGAAGAAGAAAUUUGAAAAAAAUGAAACUAAUCCACACUGUAAUGAAAAUAACAGUAUGAGUUUAAUUGUGGAAUUGAUAUUCCCUUGACAGCACGGUGUGAGAUGCUGACUUUAAACUUGGGUUUUAUCUGUUCGAUAUCAAACAUAGAGCAAUUUGCUGUGGUUCCUGAACUCUGAACUGGAAAAGUGCAACAUUAGAUUCCUGUUGUGUUUUUGCAGUGGCACCUGUUCUCAGCAACAUCACAGCAUCGCGAAACAGAAUCGAGUCUAGCUGAGACGCAGGCUUGAGUUUGGGGCCCAGUUCUCAUCCCCACUAUUGUGUAUUGCAAUAUACGGGAGACAUUCGAUCGGCAGACCUGUCAGUGCUCAGGUGUGGACAGCAGGGAUUUCUCUUAUCUAUAUUUUUCUAGAUUACAUGCAGGUGAAAAGAAAUGCACUUUUUCUUGGGGGGAUUUCUGUGGUUGGAAGCAUGGCCUGUAAACUUCAGAAAGCUGAAAUACACAAAUGGCAGGAAAAUGUGUGAAACCCCUUAAAAAGUAUCAGACUGAAUCUAACGGCUAAACCUCAGAUCUCGUUAAUGGACAAACAAUUCCUAGGUCAUUGCUGUCGUUUUUCAAGACUAAUAUCGGAUCAGUCUGGUUUUCUAUUUGAGGUUAAGAAACUAGUCAGUCCCAUCGUCACGGGUUUGUCACUGGGCUGCAGUGGAGUAACAUUUUAAGUCUGUGAUGCAGUGACUGUUAAAAAUGUUUAAGAAAAAAACAUGAUUAUCCAUUUACUGAUUGCUAAUGCAGUGUAUGCUGUUUUAUUAAUAUUUUGAUGUGACACCAUUGAAGAGUAAAUGAUAUAUUGAGUGUAUUUAAGAUGUGGCUUUUAUCUAUUCAUUGGAUUAUUUUAAAAGGCCUUUUUGUCAUUGUGCUAAAAUAAAUAUUAAAAAAUAUUUGCUAA
Brienomyrus brachyistius is the source of this 5832-nucleotide RNA transcript. It is a transcript of the gene named astrocytic phosphoprotein PEA-15-like, with no coding region annotated. The record is from RefSeq and is a predicted model, not a curated record. The transcript is spliced from 5 exons. NCBI's taxonomy places the organism in Eukaryota, Metazoa, Chordata, Actinopteri, Osteoglossiformes, Mormyridae.